GAUGAAGAACGUAGCGAAAUGCGAUAAGUAAUGUGAAUUGCAGAAUUCAGUGAAUCAUCGAAUCUUUGAACGCACAUUGCGCCCGCCAGUAUUCUGGCGGGCAUGCCUGUUCGAGCAUCAUUACAACCCUCAGGCCCCCGGGCCUGGCGUUGGGGAUCGGCGGAGCCCCCCGUGGGCACACGCCGUCCCCCAAAUACAGUGGCGGUCCCGCCGCAGCUUCCAUCGCGUAGUAGCUAACACCUCGCGACUGGAGAGCGGCGCGGCCACGCCGUAAAACACCCAACUCUUCUGAAGUUGACCUCGAAUCAGGUAGGAAUACCCGCUGAACUUAAGCAUAUCAAUAAGCGGAGGA
This 352-nucleotide unclassified non-coding RNA is filed under the name soil metagenome. Its description in RNAcentral is "partial contains 5.8S ribosomal RNA, internal transcribed spacer 2, and large subunit ribosomal RNA". The stretch from base 1 to 120 matches the Rfam family "5.8S ribosomal RNA", at positions 35 to 154 of the family's 154-position model. The record is from RNAcentral.